This is a long non-coding RNA of Cavia porcellus (domestic guinea pig), 1004 nucleotides long. RefSeq lists it as uncharacterized. The record is from RefSeq and is a predicted model, not a curated record. NCBI's taxonomy places the organism in Eukaryota, Metazoa, Chordata, Mammalia, Rodentia, Caviidae. The transcript has 2 exons.
GUGGAAGGUGGGAACCUUGGCUUGAUCCUUGGUCUUCGCUGGCCACAUCUGGUCAUUGGCUCAUGUUGUUGGAGGACUCACUUGUCAUUGUGCCCCCAUGAUUCUUUUACCAUGGAGCCUUGGAUCAGAGGAGAGCCAGAACCUGCUAGAAAUGGAGUUGAUUCCCUUGUCUCCACCCGCUUUGUCCCAUAGGUGUGUGGUUCUGCCAUCUUUGUUAUUUGGGAACAGAAAUGAAGGUUAACAUUGCCAUGGAUACCCACGGGCCUUCUUGUACACUGCGAUAGAGAUAGAAAUGGGAAUACUCUGGUGAGGGUUAACUUGGCAAUAAUAACACCGCACACAUCUUAAGUACCAGUGGACUGGAUGGCAGCUCGUCACCUGAAACAAAGCAGAGCUUUAAGAGUCUUUGGGCUCACAUAGGACACCCCAGAGCAGAUGUUUGAGCAAUGUCAGAUACAUACCUAUAAUCUCAGCACUCUAGGAGGGUGACGGAGGAAGAUCAAGAGUUGGAGGCUAGCUCAGGCAAUUUAGCAAGACUCUUUCUUUAAAUAAAUUAAUUAAUUAAUAAGAAAGGGCUAGGACCCAGUAUGUCUCAGUUGGCUAGGCCUGGAGGUCUACUUGGAAGAUGGGGCUUUCUGAGAAAGCCAUAGGCAAGUCCCAGGCAAACUACUUUCCAUAGGAUACAGGACAGCUAAGACCUGUUCAACUCAUCUUUGCAUGUCUACUGUCCAGAACCUCACUGUAGCAUGAGCAUGAUAAGCAUCUUUGGAAGUAACUACACAUAUGAAUAAAUUAUAAGCCUAGUUGAAAGCCCCAAGCAAAACACCCAAAUAGGUAUUGGUGAUUUAGAGGAAAGCUGGAGCAAGGAGUGAGAAAUCACUGCAAUCAUCAUUGCUUGCAAUAUUGGUCCAUUUAGGACUGGUUCACUUGGGGAAAAAAUGAACCUGUCUCCAGAACACAUUGUUCCUCAAACACGCAUUCCCAUUAAAUGUUUCUUUCUCUGA